RNAcentral lists this ribosomal RNA (486 nucleotides) under uncultured bacterium. RNAcentral describes it as "partial 16S ribosomal RNA". It matches the Rfam family "Bacterial small subunit ribosomal RNA", at positions 30 to 507 of the family's 1533-position model. The record is from RNAcentral.
AUUGAACGCUGGCGGCAUGCCUUACACAUGCAAGUCGAACGGCAGCACGGGUGCUUGCACCUGGUGGCGAGUGGCGAACGGGUGAGUAAUACAUCGGAACAUGUCCUGUAGUGGGGGAUAGCCCGGCGAAAGCCGGAUUAAUACCGCAUACGAUCUACGGAUGAAAGCGGGGGACCUUCGGGCCUCGCGCUAUAGGGUUGGCCGAUGGCUGAUUAGCUAGUUGGUGGGGUAAAGGCCUACCAAGGCGACGAUCAGUAGCUGGUCUGAGAGGACGACCAGCAACACUGGGACUGAGCCACGGCCCAGACUCCCACGGGAGGCAGCAGUGGGGAAUUUUGGACAAUGGGCGAAAGCCUGAUCCAGCAAUGCCGCGUGUGUGAAGAAGGCCUUCGGGUUGUAAAGCACUUUUGUCCGGAAAGAAAUCCUUGGCCCUAAUACGGUCGGGGGAUGACGGUACCGGAAGAAUAAGCACCGGCUAACUACGUG